GGCAGACUGACGAAUGAGUUUGGGAUCAGACUGAAGCUGUGACUGUUUGGGAGAUGAUGUCACGGUGCCCUGCAGAAGGUGGCAGUUUAUCACAGACCUGUCGUUUGGCUACACGGUGAAGCUUUUUUAAAAAGUUUGUAAUUCACUUCAAAGCUUCAAGCUGGAGGUUUAAGAGCCGGCUCAGAUGCUGCCGGACAUCAGAAGAAGAAGACGAGUCGUCACAGUGAGUCGGUGCUUGAAUUCCCUGCUGAGGAGCACGGGUGGAAAUAGAAGCACAGGCGGGUGGAUGGUCUGUGUGAAGGUUGAUUAGAGGCUCUUCAGAUGUGGAUGAAUGAAUGAUAGACUUUGGAAAAAUCACACAAUAAGAGAUUUUGGCAGCUAAAGAGCUUUGCUCCUACUUUAGUCUACGAAGGCUCCACGCCCUUGGAUAUUAAGCAACCAAUCAGGUGACUUCAAGUGCAUUCGCCUCAUAGCUCCUCAUAGCCUUCAUCACGUUACUGUUACCAAGGGGUUCUCUUUACAUGAGUUGAUUAUUACAGAGUGUCAGCCUUAUGCUGGCUGGAGCAGCUCUACUGGCAGCUCCUAACAUCAGCUCGCGGGUUCAGGCUUGGUUGUGUUUAGGUGUGGCUGCUGUGUGUGUGGCUUCACUCAACUCGACCUGCCAGCAGUGUUUGUGACUUUUGGAGCAUUUCUUUGUUCUUUGGUCCUUUUACCCAAUACAAGAGGGGCUCAAAGGCACUAGAGAUGCCCACCGUUUGGUUAGCAUGAAUAAAUCAAGGAUGCUAUUUCUUCAUGAUUUCACCAAUAACAAUAACACAGUUUGAUCUCAGUCCAGCACUUAUCACUAACACUAGCACGCUGUUAUAAACAGGCAUCAACUGACAGAAGUUCUUCAUUUGGAGUCCUCUUAUUGAUACUAAUGUUAGUGAUUAUUAUAUUUAAGGACUCAUUAUCAUUCUCCUGCUGUCAAAUGCAAAAACUAGCUGGGAAUGAAAGUCAUGGAACAAGCCAAUCAUAAUAGCUGCAGAGUGCACUGACAUGGUCACAGAUCCAGGAGGGUUACAAAGUUGGUCACAGAGGAGCCUAAAAUAGAAACAUACUGGAAGAAAAAAGGAGAUUUUAUUGCAGAUUUAUAACCUGAUCAAAAGAAAGUGUUUUGGUUUGGACGGACAUGUGUUUGUAAAACUAUCCACACACUGAAUGAAAUGUUUCUUUUACCUCAGUAUGUGGGAGAAGAGUCUAAUUAUGUCACUUUACUGUCACUCCAUAUAUUGCAGACAU
Molecule: long non-coding RNA, 1281 nt
Organism: Oreochromis aureus
Lineage: Eukaryota; Metazoa; Chordata; Actinopteri; Cichliformes; Cichlidae
Source: Ensembl